This is a small nucleolar RNA of Phyllostomus discolor (pale spear-nosed bat), 148 nucleotides long. RefSeq annotates it as small nucleolar RNA SNORA79. NCBI's taxonomy places the organism in Eukaryota, Metazoa, Chordata, Mammalia, Chiroptera, Phyllostomidae. The record is from RefSeq and is a predicted model, not a curated record. The transcript has a single exon.
UCAUGGCAGUUCCUCUUACUGCUUAGAGCCUUAGGUAGUGGGAAUUUGGUCCAUUAUAUAUUUAAGCUAACUUGUCUUCACUCCCAGCACCAUGAGGAUGAAGUGGCUGUUCAUUUGUGCCUUCCAAUUUUUGCAGAGUCAAAUAACU